This 465-nucleotide ribosomal RNA is filed under the name uncultured Arsenophonus sp. RNAcentral's name for it is "bacterial SSU rRNA". It matches the Rfam family "Bacterial small subunit ribosomal RNA", at positions 338 to 795 of the family's 1533-position model. The record is from RNAcentral. Lineage: Bacteria; Pseudomonadati; Pseudomonadota; Gammaproteobacteria; Enterobacterales; Morganellaceae.
CCUACGGGAGGCAGCAGUGGGGAAUAUUGCACAAUGGGCGCAAGCCUGAUGCAGCCAUGCCGCGUGUAUGAAGAAGGCCUUCGGGUUGUAAAGUACUUUCAGUCGUGAGGAAGGUGUUAAGGUUAAUAACCUUAGCAAUUGACGUUAGCGACAGAAGAAGCACCGGCUAACUCCGUGCCAGCAGCCGCGGUAAUACGGAGGGUGCGAGCGUUAAUCGGAAUUACUGGGCGUAAAGGGCACGCAGGCGGUUAAAUAAGUUUGAAGGGAAAUCCCCGGGGUUUACCUUGGAAUUGGAUUCAAGACUUGGUAGGCAGAGGUUUGGAGAGGGGGGGUGAAAUCCAUUUUGAGCCGUUAAAUUGGGAGAGAAUUGGGGGAAUACCGGUGGCGAAGGCGGCCCCCUGGACAAAGACUGACGCUCAUGUGCGAAAGCGUGGGGAGCAAACAGGAUUAGAUACCCGUGUAGUC